This 345-nucleotide RNase P RNA is filed under the name pig gut metagenome. RNAcentral's name for it is "Bacterial RNase P class A". It matches the Rfam family "Bacterial RNase P class A". From Rfam's summary of the family: Ribonuclease P (RNase P) is a ubiquitous endoribonuclease, found in archaea, bacteria and eukarya as well as chloroplasts and mitochondria. Its best characterised activity is the generation of mature 5'-ends of tRNAs by cleaving the 5'-leader elements of precursor-tRNAs. The record is from RNAcentral.
CGGGUCGGACAGUCGCGGAUGCAAUGCCUAAAGGCAGUAUUCCGAGGAAAGUCCGAGCUUCACAGAGCAAAAUAGCGGCUAACCGCCGCCGAGGGCGACCUUAGGGAAAGUGCAACAGAAAUAAACCGCCUGUUUUUUGCAGGUAAGGAUGGAAAGGCGAGGUAAGAGCUCACCACCGACGAGGGAACUCUGUCGGUCUGUAAACCCUAUUUGAAGCAACACCGUGGUACGGAGCAUAUAUACGCUUGCUCGGCGUGCUCCAGGAGGUGGCACCGAGCAUUGGUGGCAACACCAUGCCAAGAUAGAUGACUGUUCAAGACAAAACUCGGCUUACAGACCCGAUCA